This 899-nucleotide ribosomal RNA is filed under the name Hypomyces odoratus. RNAcentral describes it as "LSU rRNA". It matches the Rfam family "Eukaryotic large subunit ribosomal RNA", at positions 38 to 966 of the family's 3401-position model. Lineage: Eukaryota; Fungi; Ascomycota; Sordariomycetes; Hypocreales; Hypocreaceae. The record is from RNAcentral.
GCAUAUCAAUAAGCGGAGGAAAAGAAACCAACAGGGAUUGCCCCAGUAACGGCGAGUGAAGCGGCAACAGCUCAAAUUUGAAAUCUGGCCCCUCGGGCCCGAGUUGUAAUUUGUAGAGGAUGCUUUUGGCAAGGUGCCGCCCGAGUUCCCUGGAACGGGACGCCGCAGAGGGUGAGAGCCCCGUCUGGCUGGCCACCGAGCCUCUGUAAAGCUCCUUCGACGAGUCGAGUAGUUUGGGAAUGCUGCUCAAAAUGGGAGGUAUAUGUCUUCUAAAGCUAAAUAUUGGCCAGAGACCGAUAGCGCACAAGUAGAGUGAUCGAAAGAUGAAAAGCACUUUGAAAAGAGGGUUAAACAGUACGUGAAAUUGUUGAAAGGGAAGCGCUCAUGACCAGACUUGGGCUUGGCGAAUCAUCCGGCGUUCUCGCCGGUGCACUUCGCCUCGCCCAGGCCAGCAUCAGUUCGCGCCGGGGGACAAAAGCUUCGGGAAUGUGGCUCCUCCGGGAGUGUUAUAGCCCGUUGCAUAAUACCCUGGGGCGGACUGAGGUUCGCGCAUCUGCAAGGAUGCUGGCGUAAUGGUCAUCAGCGACCCGUCUUGAAACACGGACCAAGGAGUCGUCUUCGUAUGCGAGUGUUCGGGUGUCAAACCCCUACGCGUAAUGAAAGUGAACGCAGGUGAGAGCUUCGGCGCAUCAUCGACCGAUCCUGAUGUUCUCGGAUGGAUUUGAGUAAGAGCAUACGGGGCCGGACCCGAAAGAAGGUGAACUAUGCCUGUAUAGGGUGAAGCCAGAGGAAACUCUGGUGGAGGCUCGCAGCGGUUCUGACGUGCAAAUCGAUCGUCAAAUAUGGGCAUGGGGGGCGAAAGACUAAUCGAACCUUCUAGUAGCUGGUUUCCGCCGAAG